This 1338-nucleotide ribosomal RNA is filed under the name uncultured bacterium. RNAcentral describes it as "bacterial SSU rRNA". It matches the Rfam family "Bacterial small subunit ribosomal RNA", at positions 28 to 1381 of the family's 1533-position model. The record is from RNAcentral.
GACGAACGCUGGCGGCGUGCUUAACACAUGCAAGUCGAACGGAAAGGCCCUUCGGGGUACUCGAGUGGCGAACGGGUGAGUAACACGUGGGUGAUCUGCCCUGCACUUUGGGAUAAGCCUGGGAAACUGGGUCUAAUACCGAAUAGGACCGCAUGCUUCAUGGUGUGUGGUGGAAAGCUUUUGCGGUGUGGGAUGGGCCCGCGGCCUAUCAGCUUGUUGGUGAGGUAAUGGCUUACCAAGGCGACGACGGGUAGCCGGCCUGAGAGGGUGACCGGCCACACUGGGACUGAGAUACGGCCCAGACUCCUACGGGAGGCAGCAGUGGGGAAUAUUGCACAAUGGGCGCAAGCCUGAUGCAGCGACGCCGCGUGAGGGAUGACGGCCUUCGGGUUGUAAACCUCUUUCGCCAGGGACGAAGCGCAAGUGACGGUACCUGGAGAAGAAGGACCGGCCAACUACGUGCCAGCAGCCGCGGUAAUACGUAGGGUCCGAGCGUUGUCCGGAAUUACUGGGCGUAAAGAGCUCGUAGGUGGUUUGUCGCGUUGUUCGUGAAAACUCACAGCUUAACUGUGGGCGUGCGGGCGAUACGGGCAGACUUGAGUACUGCAGGGGAGACUGGAAUUCCUGGUGUAGCGGUGGAAUGCGCAGAUAUCAGGAGGAACACCGGUGGCGAAGGCGGGUCUCUGGGCAGUAACUGACGCUGAGGAGCGAAAGCGUGGGGAGCGAACAGGAUUAGAUACCCUGGUAGUCCACGCCGUAAACGGUGGGCACUAGGUGUGGGUUUCCUUCCUUGGGAUCCGUGCCGUAGCUAACGCAUUAAGUACCCCGCCUGGGGAGUACGGCCGCAAGGCUAAAACUCAAAGAAAUUGACGGGGGCCCGCACAAGCGGCGGAGCAUGUGGAUUAAUUCGAUGCAACGCGAAGAACCUUACCUGGGUUUGACAUGCACAGGACGCCGGCAGAGAUGUCGGUUCCCUUGUGGCCUGUGUGCAGGUGGUGCAUGGCUGUCGUCAGCUCGUGUCGUGAGAUGUUGGGUUAAGUCCCGCAACGAGCGCAACCCUUGUCUCAUGUUGCCAGCACGUUAUGGUGGGGACUCGUGAGAGACUGCCGGGGUCAACUCGGAGGAAGGUGGGGAUGACGUCAAGUCAUCAUGCCCCUUAUGUCCAGGGCUUCACACAUGCUACAAUGGCCGGUACAAAGGGCUGCGAUGCCGUGAGGUGGAGCGAAUCCUUUCAAAGCCGGUCUCAGUUCGGAUCGGGGUCUGCAACUCGACCCCGUGAAGUCGGAGUCGCUAGUAAUCGCAGAUCAGCAACGCUGCGGUGAAUACGUUCCCGGGCCU